Clupea harengus (Atlantic herring) is the source of this 348-nucleotide long non-coding RNA. The record is from Ensembl. NCBI's taxonomy places the organism in Eukaryota, Metazoa, Chordata, Actinopteri, Clupeiformes, Clupeidae.
CAGCGUAAACUGCAAAAGAGUCUACAGAAAGAAAUCUCCGAGAGAGAAAGUGAACUGAACAGGCUGAGGGAAAACGUUGAAUCUCUUCAGUCUUCUGCUAAGGCUUCAGUGGAGGUGAGUGAGAGCAACUUUACGGAGCUGCUAGCCUUCUUUGAGCGGAUGCGCUCAGAGGUGCCGGAGAUGAUCAGGGCUCAGGAGAAGGCUGAGCUGAGUCGGGAAGAGCAGCGGCAGGAGGAGGUCAAUGUGUUGAAGACGAGAGCAGCUGAGAUGGAGCAGCUUGCUAGCAAAGAGGAUGAAGUACAGUUCCUGCAGAAUCUCUCUCUUUUCUCUCCUGAGGAUUUACCAAGA